This 69-nucleotide transfer RNA is filed under the name Urocitellus parryii (Arctic ground squirrel). Its description in RNAcentral is "Spermophilus parryii (Arctic ground squirrel) tRNA". It matches the Rfam family "tRNA". From Rfam's summary of the family: Transfer RNA (tRNA) molecules are approximately 80 nucleotides in length. RNAcentral also lists the same sequence under 1 other name. The record is from Rfam by way of RNAcentral. Lineage: Eukaryota; Metazoa; Chordata; Mammalia; Rodentia; Sciuridae.
GGGAUUGUGGCUCAGCAGUAGAGCGCUUGCCUCACAUGUAUAAGGCACUGGGUUCGAACCUCAGCACCA